CAGGCAGAGGUCAGUAAUCCAGGGCAGUGUUAGAAAGGUAUAAAACGGCAGGCACGCUCAGGGUAAGGGCAGGCAGAGGUCAGUAAUCCAGGGCAGUGUUAGAAAGGUAUAAAACGGCAGGCACGCUCAGGGUCAGAGCAGGCAGAGGUCAGUAAUCCAGGGCAGUGUUAGAAAGGUACAGAACGGCAGGCAGGCGCAGGGUCAGGGCAGGCAGAGGUCAGUAAUCCAGGGCAGUGUUAGAAAGGUACAGAACGGCAGGCACGCUCAGGGUCAGAGCAGGCAGAGGUCAGUAAUCCAGGGCAGUGUUAGAAAGGUACAGAACGGCAGGCAGGCGCAGGGUCAGAGCAGGCAGAGGUCAGUAAUCCAGGGCAGUGUUAGAAAGGUACAGAACGGCAGGCAGGCGCAGGGUCAGAGCAGGCAGAGGUCAGUAAUCCAGGGCAGUGUUAGAAAGGUACAGAACGGCAGGCAGGCGCAGGGUCAGGGCAGGCAGAGGUCAGUAAUCCAGGGCAGUGUUAGAAAGGUACAGAACGGCAGGCACGCUCAGGGUCAGGGAAGGCAGAAUGGUCAAAACUGGAAGAACUAGAUAACAGGGACCAGAAAGAACAGGAUUACGGGAAAAACACGCUGGUUGGCUUGUCGAGACAAGAUGAAUUAGCAACAGAUUAACAGAGAACACAGGUAUAAAUGCACAGGGGAUAAUGGGGAAAAUGGGCGACACUUGGAGGGGUAUUUCCCCAUUUACCAUAAUGAGAUACAACUUUAGAUUCUAUUUAUCAUAAUAUAUGUUUGUAAACUUACCAUUAAAAAAUACCAUAAUGAUUGAGUGACCAUAGAGCUGUACUAUGACAUUUGCAUUGCUAUCCAAUUAUUCUCUACUAUUCGACCCGCUAAAACGUCCCUCCAUCCCAAUUUGGGUUGUCGUUCCGGUGACUAUACUGCUUUCACACACAAGUUACAGUGCAUUCGGAAGGUAUUCAGACCCCUUGACUUUUUCCACAUUUUGUUACGUUACAGCAUUAUUCCCCCCAAAAACCCUCAACACACAAUACUCCAUAAUGACAAACCAAAAACAAGUUUUUAGACAUUAUUAACAUAAGUAUUCAGACCCUUUGCUAUGAGACUCGAAAUUGAGCUCAUGUGCAUAAUGUUUCCAAUGAUCAUCCUUGCAAUGUUUCUAUAAAUUGAUUGGAAUCCACAUGUGGUCAAUUCAAUUGACUGGACAUGAUUUGGAAGGGCACACACCUGUCUAUGUAAGGUCCUACAGUUGACAGUGCAUUUCAGAGCAAAAACCAAGCCAUGAUGUUGAA
Molecule: long non-coding RNA, 1307 nt
Filed under: Salmo salar (Atlantic salmon)
Lineage: Eukaryota; Metazoa; Chordata; Actinopteri; Salmoniformes; Salmonidae
Description: lncRNA (ENSSSAG00000089756.1)
Source: RNAcentral